RNAcentral lists this ribosomal RNA (1513 nucleotides) under metagenome. Its description in RNAcentral is "bacterial SSU rRNA". It matches the Rfam family "Bacterial small subunit ribosomal RNA". The record is from RNAcentral.
AGAGUAUGAUCCUAGCUCAGAUUGAACGCUGGCGGUAUGCAUAACACAUGCGAGUCGAACGGCAGCAGAAUUCAUGCAAAUGAAUAGAUGGCGAGUGGCGAACGGGUGAGUAAUAUGCAGGAACCUACCUUUAAGACAGGGAUAACUCAUGGAAACGUGAAGUAAUACCGGAUAAAGUUGAAAAACCAAAAGCUGGGGAUAUUGAAAGAUACCCAACGCUUAGAGAUGGGCCUGUAGUAGAUUAGUUAGUUGGUAGGGUAAAGGCCUACCAAGACGAAGAUCUAUAGCUGUUUUGAGAGAAAGAGCAGCCACACUGGGAUUGAGAUACGGCCCAGACUCCUACGGGAGGCAGCAGUGUGGAAUAUUGGACAAUGAGGGAAACCUUGAUCCAGCAAUACCGCGUGUGUGAAGAAGGCCUUUGGGUUGUAAAGCACUUUCGUUAGAUAAGAAGGGCUAUUUUGGAUAAUAAAAUAGUUUUGACUAACUAAAUAAGAAGUACCUGCUAACUCUGUGCCAGCAGCAGCGGUAAGACAGAGGGUACAAGCGUUAAUCGGAUUGAUUGGGCGUAAAGGGCGUGUAGGCGGCAUAGUAAGUUAAUUAUAAAAGAACAAGGCUCAACCUUGUUAUGUUGAUUAAAACUACUAAGCUAGAGUUUAGUAGAGGAAAGCGGAAUUUCCGGAGUAGUGGUGAAAUGCUAAGAUACCGGAAGGAACACCAGUUGCGAAGGCGGCUUUCUGGGCUAUAACUGACGCUGAGGCGCGAAAGCAUGGGGAGCGAACAGGAUUAGAUACCCUGGUAGUCCAUGCUGUAAACGAUGAAUACUAACUGUUUGCCUUCUUUUAGGUAAGUAGUAAAGCUAACGCUUUAAGUAUUCCGCCUGAGGAUUACGGCCGCAAGGCUAAAACUUAAAGGAAUUGACGGGGAUCUGCACAAGCGGUGGAGCAUGUGGUUUAAUUCGUUUCUACGCGAGAAACCUUACCUGCUCUUGACAUCUUGAGAAUUCCUUAGAAAUAAGAAAGUGUCUGCAUUUAUGUAGAAGCUCAAAGACAGGUGUUGCAUGGCUGUCGUCAGCUCGUGCUGUGAAGUGUUGGGUUAAGUCCUUAAACGAGCGCAACCCUCAUUUUUAUUUGCCAGCAAGUAAUGUUGGGAACUAUAAGAAGACAGUUAGCUUUAAAGCUAAAGGAAGGUGAGGAUGAGGUCAAGUCAUCAUGGCCCUUAUGAGCAGGGCUACACACGUGCUACAAUGGGUGUUACAAUGAGAUGCAAUAUGGCAACAUGGAGCAAAUCUAUAAAAGCACUCUUAGUACGGAUUGCAGUCUGAAACUCGACUGCAUGAAGCUGAAAUCGCUAGUAAUCGCAAAUGAGUAUGUUGCGGUGAAUACGUUACCAGAUCUUGUACACACCGCCCGUCAAACCAUGGAAGUAAAUUGUACCAGAAAUGGGUGUCGUAACUUGAAAAAGAGCAAGCCUAUUAAGGUGUGAUUUAUGACUGGGGUUAAGUCGUAACAAGGCA